UAGAGAAAAAUGCUCUAGUGCCUCGACUCACGCCCAGAUGAACGGACUACCCCCUGCACCUUGUUUUUGGUUAUUCUACUAUGUAAGAUGCUCGUACUGACACUCUUAUCACGUGGUGAACUAUAAAUAAAUUCACGAAAAAUAUUAAGAAAAAUGUCUUUGUGUUGCGACUCACUCCGAGGGACAAUGGCUUUGAUCGUGCAUAAUGUUUAAUGUCCCAUCAGCAAAACAACGAGUGAAAAAUGAGAACUUU
RNAcentral lists this long non-coding RNA (253 nucleotides) under Carica papaya (papaya). Its description in RNAcentral is "long non-coding RNA (CPAP_LNC014692)". Lineage: Eukaryota; Viridiplantae; Streptophyta; Magnoliopsida; Brassicales; Caricaceae. The record is from RNAcentral.